This 3634-nucleotide long non-coding RNA is filed under the name Gallus gallus (chicken). RNAcentral describes it as "lncRNA (ENSGALG00010028831.1)". Lineage: Eukaryota; Metazoa; Chordata; Aves; Galliformes; Phasianidae. The record is from RNAcentral.
UGAGAUUUGGGUUUAUUUCUGCGAGGAUUACCAAAAGGUGAUGCUUUCUGUAAGUCCUGAGCCAACCCAGAGAUGAUCUGAAUGGAAAACACAUCGUAAUGGCAGCAGAGCCUGCAGUCACCCCACAGCAGUGGGACAGCCCAGUCACAUCCCUAUGUUGUGCCUUAAGCUAUGUGCAAAGAGGGACCAAACUGAGGAAUAUCGAAGGGUUUGGAGGAAACACAGAGAGAUGUCACACCUCGGAAGCUGGUUGCCAUGGAGACGGGCUCAUUUAACCCUAUCAGGGUCAAGCAGCCCUUCUUAUUCGAGCUAAUUGAAUUAAAGAGAUGGGAAGGAAAUGCAAAAUCUAUUGGCACUGAUUCACACCAGGAUGCCGUUGCUCAGGCUGGAUGGGGUUCUUGAGGACGGGCUUUGGUUCGGUAUCCACGCAUCAUCUAUAGGGUCAUUUGUAGUCAAAGGACUCCACUGAUGGGAUGGAUUGGAGAAGAAAGACCGAAGGCAGAAGACAUGGUGGGCGAGGUGGCACUUCAGUGCUGUAUCUCUCCUGGGAUAAGAAGCUCCCAGCUGUGCUCAGUGCUCCUCCUGAGCUGUGGGUACCGCGCCUUUAUCUCCCUUCUGGAUUUGAAAUGUGGAUAAAGCAAAGCUGGCAAGAUGAUCAAUGAAGACUGAUGGAAAUUCCCAUUCAUCAGCCUCAAGGUGUUGUGCUGAGCACUGGCAGCUCAGGACCUGUUUUUGGGGGCAGCAGAAUCCACAUCAUCAGCACCGGUUGCACCGCGGCGAGAUGUCGAUGUCGUGCAGCAUCACAGAGGUGACAACGCGACAGCAGCACUGGGAUUUCUGUGUGAGGAAUUGUGGUGAUUGUUCAUUUCUGCGCCGCGCUGAACAUGUCCUCAGAGGUUGAGAUGAUAAGUCUAAACCCAUUUAUAUUGUCUAAACUACUUUUUUUUGGGGCUGGGGAAUUGGGUAUUCUCUUUUUUUUUUCCAACCACGGAGUUUCAAUCAUCUCAAAUUGCUAAACAGGCUCUUUUUUUUUUUUUUUUUAAUUAAUUUUGAUUUUAUUUAAUGAAGUGCCCAGGAAGGGAGAGUUCGAAGAUCAUCUGGAACACAAAGGGUUCACACUGUGUAGGCAAAAAGGCUCAUGGUGGCCUACAGCUCCACCAUGGCGGUCUAUGGCCAACUCAUGGUGGCCCCAUGGCCAACUCAUGGCCUACAGCCAACUCAUGGCACAGAGAUGCGUCAGGGGAGGGUCAGGUGGGUAUUAAGAAAAGGUUCUGCAACAGAGGAUGGUGGGCACGGAACGGCUCCCCAGGGCAGCAGGCAUAGCCCAGAGCUGCUGGAGUGCCGGGACACCGCUCUAAGACCUUGGGUUUGUAUUUUGGGUGCUGGGUGGGGACAGGGGAUGGACUUGAUUCCAUCCAACUCGGGAUGUUCCAUGGUUCUAUGAAUCUUGCUUACAUGCCCCAGGGCAUUUCAUAGAGCUCACAGCAGCACAUGACCAUGAUGCAGAUGCUGCCCAAGUGGGGAUAACGGAUCCCACUGUGCUCACCGAGCUCAGAGAGCUGCUCUCCUCAGAAUAAACCUCUCGUGGAGGAGAACCAGGAACACGAACACUUCAGGAACCACUUCGGUUGCUAAGGGACAUUCAUGCAGGAAAACCUGCUGCAGGAGGGAAGCGCUGGGCUCUCUGCCCCCAUCUCCCCCAUGCAGCUCACCCUUGUGUCACCCAUGGGGCAGGAUUUACCCUGCCUUUCUGCCCACAAAGGCUGCCCCAAGCAAUAGGGCAGCAUCCAAGGGCGCAGUUCAGCCUGCACCAUGCGUGGUGCAGCCUGCAGAGUCCCUCACAACUCAUUUUCAAUUAAAAAUGCUUCGUGCCUGCUGGACUGGGCAACACUUCAACCCCACAGUGCCCACGAGGUGACUCCUGCUUUGAGACCCACAGCAAAUUGGGGUGUUGGAAUGGUGACUCCAAAAGGGACUUCUCUGUUGGUUAUCCCAUAUUCAAGGACCGAAGGGCACCCAUGGGCGCCCAACUCUGCCACAUCACUGGGGAAUAGACCCAGUGAAGAGAGCCUGGAUGGAGUCACAGGGAUUCCUCCACCCCUCCACACGUCCCAUGGGGGUUUCCCAGCAAACGCCUCCUCCUGCCGCAUCCGCUGAUGGGAAUCUGCAGCGGUGUGAAGUGGGGCGAGGGCUGAUGGCAGUGCGGAUCUGAACCUCGCACCUUCUGUCCAUCUGACGCCUGGCCCCGUGCCGCCAUCCAGAAGGAAAACUGCUGGAACUGCCCAGGGCUGAGAGCAGAGAGGGGUCCCCGUGUCACCGCGGCGGCCGCGAAUCGGUGCCAUCUGCUGCAACGCGGCCGCGGGGCCACGAGCUCCGUCAGCUGAGAUUUUGAGCACAUACUGCCAAAUUAGUUACAGCAAUGUAAUCACAUCCAUCCACCAGAGAGACCACGAGCAGCUGACAGCGCGAAGCAGAGGUGUGCAGGAAUGCAGAUGGACUGGGACGCGGCCCCGACGCCGCUCAGCAUUAAUUGUUGGGAGAAGUCCCCGUUGGAGGCUCUCAUUGGGUUGGAGAAGUUCAUCUUCAGCCAUUGCCACUCAAGGAGGAGAGAGCGUUCCAUUAUCCCCGUUAUCAGGAAGCAUCUUCCUGCUGCUUUUUAAAUGCAGAGCAGCAGUACCUCUCACAAUGCCUGGCUUGCUCCGCCGGGAUCACCAAAUUGACUGCUUCCGUGUAGGAGUGAGGCUGUGCCACAGCUCGUGUGCCUAUUAUUCCUAGUAGAAAUAAAUAAUAAUAAAGCAGUGAUCUCUUUCCUUUCCUCCAGACAGAUGCUGCUCCGCAGAGCUGUCAGCUUGUCACUCAGCAGUGGUUUCCAAAGGCAACCAAGUCAAAGUGGUCCCAGGCAGCGCCUGAUGGGUUUUUGAUACCAGGCUGAGCUCCCAGGCCAGAGGCAGAGAUGCUCCUUGUGGAAACGUCCAUUUUUCAUAGUAUCAUAGAACCACUGAGGUUGGAAAUGACCUCUGAGGUCACCAAGACCAAGCCCAACCCUCUCCACUAUGCCCACUCAUAGAAUCCUUGAAUUAUUAAGGAGAAGACCCACCAAGUCCAACCAUCAUCUCAUCCUCCUAUUCGCACUCAUAGAGCCAUUAAGGCCAGAAAAGAAUUCCAAGAUCCCCAACCCCAACCCAUCCCCACCAUGGCCACUAACCAUGUCCCUCUGAAAAACCCUUUGGCUUAAUUUAUGAGAUACCAGCAACAAGUCAUGCUGGAAAGAAGUCUGCGCACAGACCAUCCGCUGUCCUUGUUCCUGUGUGACCAUCAUGGAGCCCUCCAUGCUCUUCCUCCCACUGUGUCACAAGAACAGGAGCGUGGGGAGGGGUACGCAGUGCCCCGUGCUUGUGGGUGUGUCGGUGUAAUGCACUGCAGCUUCUAAGGAGCAGCCAAUCUCAAUAAAAGAAAAGAGUCCAAAUGCUCCCCUGGUGUCUGUUUGCAGUGCUCUUAUGGGGCCCGAGGGAAAGCAGGGAGGGAGCAGAAGAGCGCUGUCUGCAUCCUAUGGCCAGGAGCUAUUAGGGGAUGAGGCAACACUUAUCACAUUAGAGAACAACAGCACAGAGCAUGGGGCACACUGUGCUCCCAG